GAUUGUUUGAUCCUGGCUCAGGAUGAACGCUAGCGGCAGGCUUAACACAUGCAAGUCGAGGGGUAGAGAGUGCUUGCACUCUUGAGACCGGCGCACGGGUGCGUAACGCGUAUGCAAUCUACCUUUUACAGAGGGAUAGCCCAGAGAAAUUUGGAUUAAUACCUCAUAGUAUUAUUAAUUGGCAUCAAUUGAUAAUUAAAGCUGAGGCGGUAAAAGAUGAGCAUGCGUUCUAUUAGCUAGAUGGAGUGGUAACGGCACCCCAUGGCAACGAUAGAUAGGGGCCCUGAGAGGGGGAUCCCCCACACUGGUACUGAGACACGGACCAGACUCCUACGGGAGGCAGCAGUGAGGAAUAUUGGACAAUGGGCGAGAGCCUGAUCCAGCCAUGCCGCGUGCAGGAAGACGGUCCUAUGGAUUGUAAACUGCUUUUAUACGGGAAGAAACACCCCCUCGUGAGGGGGCUUGACGGUACUGUAAGAAUAAGGAUCGGCUAACUCCGUGCCAGCAGCCGCGGUAAUACGGAGGAUCCAAGCGUUAUCCGGAAUCAUUGGGUUUAAAGGGUCCGUAGGUGGAUAAUUAAGUCAGAGGUGAAAUCCUGCAGCUCAACUGUAGAAUUGCCUUUGAUACUGGUUAUCUUGAAUUAUUAUGAAGUAGUUAGAAUAUGUAGUGUAGCGGUGAAAUGCAUAGAUAUUACAUAGAAUACCAAUUGCGAAGGCAGAUUACUAAUAAUUGAUUGACACUGAUGGACGAAAGCGUGGGGAGCGAACAGGAUUAGAUACCCUGGUAGUCCACGCCGUAAACGAUGGAUACUAGCUGUUCGGAGCAAUCUGAGUGGCUAAGCGAAAGUGAUAA
Molecule: ribosomal RNA, 852 nt
Filed under: uncultured bacterium
Lineage: Bacteria
Description: bacterial SSU rRNA
Rfam family: Bacterial small subunit ribosomal RNA
Source: RNAcentral